AGGAUAAUAGUUAAUAAUAACAUUUAAUUUGCAUUUAAAAAAUAUUGCACUGCAAUUUAUCUU
RNAcentral lists this transfer RNA (63 nucleotides) under Bostrichoidea sp. 9 KM-2017. RNAcentral's name for it is "tRNA-Ala". The record is from RNAcentral. Lineage: Eukaryota; Metazoa; Arthropoda; Insecta; Coleoptera.